GCUCGCUUCAGCGGCACCUGUACUAAAAUUGGAAUGAUAUGGGAAGAUUGGCAUGGCCUCUGUGCAAGGAUGACACAAAACUCGUGAAGCGUUCCAUAUUUUU
Molecule: small nuclear RNA, 103 nt
Organism: Camelus dromedarius (Arabian camel)
Lineage: Eukaryota; Metazoa; Chordata; Mammalia; Artiodactyla; Camelidae
Source: Ensembl